RNAcentral lists this ribosomal RNA (520 nucleotides) under uncultured bacterium. RNAcentral's name for it is "partial 16S ribosomal RNA". It matches the Rfam family "Bacterial small subunit ribosomal RNA", at positions 899 to 1397 of the family's 1533-position model. The record is from RNAcentral.
ACUCAAAUGAAUAGACGGGGACUUGCACAAGCAGUGGAUUAUGCGGUUUAAUUCGAUGACAAACGAAAAACCUUACCAAGGUUAGAAAUCUACACGACGAUAUUUAGAAAUAGAUAUCUUCCGCAAGGACGGGUAGACAGGUGAUGCAUGGCCGUCGUCAGUUCGUGAUUUGAAUUGUUCCCUUAAGUGGGGUAACGAACGCAACCCUCGUUGCCAGUUACAAGUGUCUGGCGAGACUGCCCCGGUUUGUGUACAGGAGCGAAAGCUCGUGUGCAGAAACCGGGGAGGAAGGCGAGGAUGACGCCAGGUCAGCAUGUCCCUCUGAUACCUUGGGCCACACGCAUAAUACAAUCGCACAUACAACGGGUCGCGACGGAGUAAUCCUGAGCCAAUCCUAAGAAAGUGUGCGCCAGUUCGGAUUGGGGGCUGCAACUCGACCCCAUGAAGCCGGAAUUGCUAGUAAUCGCGGGUCAGCUAUACCGCGGUGAAUACGUUCUCAAGUCUUGUACACACCGCCCGU